AGAGUUUGAUCAUGGCUCAGAUUGAACGCUGGCGGCAGGCCUAACACAUGCAAGUCGAACGGUAGCACAGAGAGCUUGCUCUUGGGUGACGAGUGGCGGACGGGUGAGUAAUGUCUGGGAAACUGCCCGAUGGAGGGGGAUAACUACUGGAAACGGUAGCUAAUACCGCAUAACGUCGCAAGACCAAAGUGGGGGACCUUCGGGCCUCACACCAUCGGAUGUGCCCAGAUGGGAUUAGCUAGUAGGUGGGGUAAUGGCUCACCUAGGCGACGAUCCCUAGCUGGUCUGAGAGGAUGACCAGCCACACUGGAACUGAGACACGGUCCAGACUCCUACGGGAGGCAGCAGUGGGGAAUAUUGCACAAUGGGCGCAAGCCUGAUGCAGCCAUGCCGCGUGUAUGAAGAAGGCCUUCGGGUUGUAAAGUACUUUCAGCGAGGAGGAAGGCAUUAAGGUUAAUAACCUUAGUGAUUGACGUUACUCGCAGAAGAAGCACCGGCUAACUCCGUGCCAGCCGCCGCGGUAAUAC
RNAcentral lists this ribosomal RNA (527 nucleotides) under uncultured bacterium. RNAcentral describes it as "bacterial SSU rRNA". It matches the Rfam family "Bacterial small subunit ribosomal RNA", at positions 8 to 526 of the family's 1533-position model. The record is from RNAcentral.